RNAcentral lists this ribosomal RNA (510 nucleotides) under uncultured bacterium. RNAcentral describes it as "bacterial SSU rRNA". It matches the Rfam family "Bacterial small subunit ribosomal RNA", at positions 29 to 518 of the family's 1533-position model. The record is from RNAcentral.
AACGAACGCUGGCGGCGUGCUUAACACAUGCAAGUCGAACGCGAAAGGGACUUCGGUCCUGAGUAAAGUGGCGCACGGGUGAGUAACGCGUAGAUAACCUGUCUUCAUGUCUGGAAUAAUACGCCGAAAGGGGUACUAAUACCGGAUAUUCUUGCUUUUCAUAAGUUAUGCAAGCAAAGGUGGCCUCUGCAUAUGCUACUGCAUGAAGAGGGGUCUGCGUACCAUUAGCUAGUAGGUGGGGUAAUGGCCUACCUAGGCGACGAUGGUUAGCGGGUCUGAGAGGAUGAUCCGCCACACUGGCACUGGAACACGGGCCAGACUCCUACGGGAGGCAGCAGUGAGGAAUAUUGCGCAAUGGGGAAACCCUGACGCAGCGACGCCGCGUGAGUGAAGGAAGGCCUUCGGGUCGUAAAGCUCUGUCAAGAGGAAAGAAGUGUACAAUGGCUAAUACCUGUUGUAUUUGACGGUACCUCUAAAGGAAGCACCGGCUAACUCCGUGCCAGCCGCUGC